AUGCUGGCUUGGUGCUGCUUUGUUGUGUCCCAGCUGCUCAUCAUAAUAACGCUCAUAUACCUUGUCAUGACCAAGAGCAAGGUCCACGGUGGCACGUGCUCAUCAGAGAUGGUGCCGCUUCCACUUCCGCCGGGGCCAUGGCCAUGUCCACUGGUGGGUAGCCUGCCCGAGAUGGUGCUCAACAAGCCGGCGUUCCGUUGGAUCCAUCGCGUGAUGAAGGAUAUGGGCACUGACAUCGCCUGCUUCCGCCUCGGCAGCGUCCACGUCAUCCCAAUCACAUGUCCCAAGAUCGCAAGGGAGGUGCUCAAGAAGCAAGACAAAAACUUCUCGUCUCGUCCACUCACCUUCGCCUCCGGCACCAUCAGCAGCGGGUACAAGGACGCCGUGCUCUCGCCGUUCGGCGACCAGUGGAUGAAGAUGCGCAAGGUGCUCACCUCUGAGAUCAUCUGCCCCUCCCGUCACAAGUGGCUCCACGACAAGCGCGCCGACGAAGCUGACAACUUGACGCGCUACAUCUACAACCUCACCGUCGGGGGGUCGUCAUCUUCAACAUCGGGACUAGCCAACGUCAAUGUCAGGCACGUCGCGCGACAUUACUGCGGCAACGUUAUCCGUCAGCUUGUCUUCGGCCAACGAUACUUCGGGGAGCCUCAGCCGGACGGCGGGCCGGGGCCGAUGGAGGUGGAGCACAUGGACGCUUCCUUUGCCCUCCUAGGGUUCACCUUCGCGUUCUGCGUCAGUGACUACCUCCCGUGUCUACUUGGCCUAGAUCUCGACGGCCACGAGAAAAUUAUUAAGGAGGCCAACACAAAAGUGGAUAGACUGCAUGAUGUGGUCAUCGAAGAGCGUUGGAGGCAGUGGAACAGCGGCGAGAGGCAGGACGGGGUCCAGGACUUCCUUGACGUUCUCAUCACGCUUGCCGACGGUGACGGCAAGCCGUUGCUCAACAUCGAUGAGGUUAAAGCACAGUCCAAGGGCAUAAUAUUAGCGGCCAUAGAUAACCCGUCAAACGCAGUGGAGUGGGCACUGGCGGAGAUGGUGAACAACCCAGAAUUGCUGGCCAAGGCAGUGGAGGAGAUGGACUGGCUCAACUAUCUCAAGGCGUGCAUACGUGAGGCAUUUCACCUCCACCCAAUCGCUCCCUUCAACCUACCGCACGUCGCGAUUGUCGACACCAUUGUUGCGGGCUACCGCGUGCCCAAGGGUAGCAACGUCAUCCUCAGCCGGCUGGCCCUGGGCCGGAACCCCACCGUCUGGGAUGAACCGCUCCACUUCAAGCCAGAGCGCCAUAUGGGAGACAACAUCAAUGUGGUGCUUACCGAGAGCGAAUUGCGUGUCAUGCUCUUUGGCAGGCUCCUGCAUGGCUUCACCUGGACCAAACCGGUUGGGGUGUCGGCCAUCAAUCUCAGCGAGUCCAAGCACAACCUCUUCAUAGAGAAUCCGCUAGUGCUACAUGCUGAGCCACGUCUUCCAGUGCACCUCUACCCUCUCAUGCAUGUUUGA
This 1503-nucleotide ribosomal RNA is filed under the name Triticum aestivum (bread wheat). RNAcentral describes it as "partial small subunit ribosomal RNA". The record is from RNAcentral. Lineage: Eukaryota; Viridiplantae; Streptophyta; Magnoliopsida; Poales; Poaceae.